GACGAACGCUGGCGGCGUGCCUAAUACAUGCAAGUAGAACGCUGAAACUUGGUGCUUGCACCGAGCGGCUGAGUUGCGAACGGGUGAGUAACGCGUAGGUAACCUGCCUGGUAGCGGGGGAUAACUAUUGGAAACGAUAGCUAAUACCGCAUAAGAGUAGAUGUUGCAUGACAUUUGCUUAAAAGGUGCAAUUGCACCACUACCAGAUGGACCUGCGUUGUAUUAGCUAGUUGGUGGGGUAACGGCUCACCAAGGCGACGAUACAUAGCCGACCUGAGAGGGUGAUCGGCCACACUGGGACUGAGACACGGCCCAGACUCCUACGGGAGGCAGCAGUAGGGAAUCUUCGGCAAUGGACGGAAGUCUGACCGAGCAACGCCGCGUGAGUGAAGAAGGUUUUCGGAUCGUAAAGCUCUGUUGUAAGAGAAGAACGAGUGUGAGAGUGGAAAGUUCACACUGUGACGGUAUCUUACCAGAAAGGGACGGCUAACUACGUG
This 497-nucleotide ribosomal RNA is filed under the name uncultured bacterium. RNAcentral describes it as "partial 16S ribosomal RNA". It matches the Rfam family "Bacterial small subunit ribosomal RNA", at positions 28 to 507 of the family's 1533-position model. The record is from RNAcentral.